CCGGCGCUUACGCUAGAGACUCUCGAACCUGCACCGCAUAGCGCAGAGGGAGCAGCCUUGAUAGACAGGCAUUUGGCGUUACUCAACGCUAGCGACGACCCUGAGGCCACAGAGUUCAUGCCGUUGGUAGCCGUGAAAGACGAACCGCUUUCUGAAGGAGAACAACCGCAGCUGAGCGGCGAGGAUACGAGUGACUCGAGCGGCACACAGCCCGAGUCGGCGCCGCGCUGCAGCCCCAAGACUUGGACGCAGAAGGACAUGGACAACGCGCUGGAGGCGCUUCGGAAACACAACAUGAGCCUCACUAAAGGUAA
This is a long non-coding RNA of Manduca sexta (tobacco hornworm), 314 nucleotides long. RefSeq lists it as uncharacterized. The record is from RefSeq and is a predicted model, not a curated record. The transcript has 3 exons. Lineage: Eukaryota; Metazoa; Arthropoda; Insecta; Lepidoptera; Sphingidae.